GCGUAAAGCGUCCGCAGGGGGCGCAUCAAGUCUGCUGUUAAAGGCUGGAGCUUAACUCCGGUAGAGCAGUGGAAACUGGUGCGCUAGAGGGCGACAGGGGUAGAGGGAAUUCCCAGUGUAGCGGUGAAAUGCGUAGAGAUUGGGAAGAACACCGGUGGCGAAAGCGCUCUACUGGGUCGCACCUGACCCUCAGGGACGAAAGCUAAGGUAGCGAAAGGGAUUAGAUACCCCUGUAGUCUUAGCCGUAAACGAUGGAUACUAGGCGUGGCUUGUAUCGACCCAAGCCGUGCCGAAGCUAACGCGUUAAGUAUCCCGCCUGGGGAGUACGCACGCAAGUGUGAAACUCAAAGGAAUUGACGGGGGCCCGCACAAGCGGUGGAGGAUGUGGUUUAAUUCGAUGCAACGCGAAGAACCUUACCAGGGCUUGACAUCCCGCGAAUCUCGGUGAAAGCCGAGAGUGCCUUCGGGAGCGCGGAGACAGGUGGUGCAUGGCUGUCGUCAGCUCGUGUCGUGAGAUGUUGGGUUAAGUCCCGCAACGAGCGCAACCCUCGUCCUUAGUUGCCAGCAUUGAGUUGGGCACUCUAGGGAGACUGCCGGUGACAAACCGGAGGAAGGUGAGGAUGACGUCAAGUCAGCAUGCCCCUUAUGCUCUGGGCAACACACGUGCUACAAUGGUCGGUACAAAGGGCAGCAAACUCGCAAGAGCCAGCCAAUCCCAUAAAGCCGAUCCUAGUCCGGAUCGCAGUCUGCAACUCGACUGCGUGAAG
RNAcentral lists this ribosomal RNA (767 nucleotides) under uncultured cyanobacterium. RNAcentral's name for it is "bacterial SSU rRNA". It matches the Rfam family "Bacterial small subunit ribosomal RNA", at positions 558 to 1325 of the family's 1533-position model. The record is from RNAcentral. Lineage: Bacteria; Bacillati; Cyanobacteriota.